AUACUAAAGUAGUAAUAGAUAUAGGCUUGAAACUUAAAGAAUUUGGCGGUAUUUUAAUCUUUUCAGAGGAACCUGUUCUAUAAUCGAUAUUCCACGUUAAAUUUUACUAAAUUAUUUAUAUAUCGUUGUCGAAAGAAUAAAUUUUCUAGUAUUUUAAAGAAAAUAGAUGUCAAAUCAAGGUGUAGUUGAUAAUUUAGAAGAAAUGGGUUACAAUAAAUUUAUUUAGAAAAUUUUGGAAGGAGGAUUUGAAAGUAAAUUAAUUUUAAUAAAUUUAAUUGAUUAUAGUUCUAAGAUAUGU
This 298-nucleotide ribosomal RNA is filed under the name Ceratophyllus zhovtyi. RNAcentral's name for it is "partial 12S ribosomal RNA". The record is from RNAcentral. Lineage: Eukaryota; Metazoa; Arthropoda; Insecta; Siphonaptera; Ceratophyllidae.